AAAAAAAGAUAUUCUAGAUCCAAAAGUUGAAAGAUGACAUGGUUAUUUUAAGAAAAACCAGUUCGCCCCUCGGAGCUGGAAAUACAGCAGCUGGGAUCGUCAGAUGCUGCGGAGCUGGAGGCGGAGGCCGCUGGGGAGGUCCGAGCGAUGUGACCAGGCCACAAACGCUCGUCUCCUCUUCUCUCCUGCCGCCUCCUGUCUUGAAAAUAAUUUUUUAGGCUAAAGAAAGAAAACAAAAAAGCCAUCCGCUCCUCACACCCUCUCUUCCUGUCAGCCUUCCUCUGGGUGAGGAAGUCCAGGGUGGCCUCUCCGCUGUCGGGGCCGCGCCGCCGAGCCCCAGCCGCCCCGGGCCGCCCCCACCUGCCGCCCCCAUGCAUCCCUUCUACACCCGGGCUGCCACCAUGAUAGGCGAGAUUGCUGCCGCCGUGUCCUUCAUCUCCAAGUUCCUCCGCACCAAGGGGCUCACGAGCGAGCGACAGCUGCAGACCUUCAGCCAGAGCCUGCAGGAGCUGCUGACAGAACAUUAUAAACAUCACUGGUUCCCAGAAGAGCCAUGCAAGGGAUCGGGUUACCGUUGUAUUCGCAUCAACCAUAAAAUGGAUCCUCUGAUUGGACAGGCAGCACAGCAGAUUGGACUGAGCAGUCAGGAGCUGUUCAGGCUUCUCCCAAGUGAACUCACACUCUGGGGUUGACCGUUACGAAGUGUCCUACAGAAUUGGAGAGGAUGGCUCCAUCUGUGUGCUGUAUGAAGCCUCACCAGCAGGAGGUAGCACUCAAAACGGCACCAACAUGCAAAUGGUAGCCGAAUCAGCUAUAAGGAGGAACUUCUCUUGGGCAGAACGAGCCCUUCCAAAAACUACAAUAUCAGGUUAAGAUAUAGUCUGUAUCAGGUUAAGAUAUAGUCUAUGGAUGGAUCAUCUUAUAAUGAUGGAUAAAGUUGAUUUUUGCUUUCGGUGGGCUCCUCUUGGGGAUGGAUUAUGGAAUUUAAACCAUGUCACAGCUGUGAAGAUCUGGCACAAGAUAGAGUGGUAAAAAAAAAUUUUAAGUGACGGUGCCAUAGUUUGGACAGUACCUUUCAAUGAUUAAUUUUAAUAGCCUGUGAGUCCAAGUAAAUGAUCACUUUAUUUGCGAGGGAAGGAAGUCCUAGGGUGGUUUCAGUUUCUCCCAGACAUACCUAAAUUUGUACAUCAAUCCCUUUAAAGAAAAUCUGUAUUUCAAAUAAUUUUUCUCUGCAGUAAAUCUUGCAGAGGAAUUUGCACUAUUACACUUGAAAAUUGUUACUGUUAACCUUUUUGGCAGCUCAAUAGGAAAGCUAACAUUUCAAACACUGUAGUACUGGAAAUUUUACAAGACUUUUACCUAGCACUUAAAUAUGUAUAAAUGUACAUAAAGACAAACUAGUAAGCAUGACCUGGGGAAAUGGUCAGACCUUGUAUUGUGUUUUUGGCCUUGAAAGUAGCAAGUGACCAGAAUCUACCAUGGCAACAGCCUUUUAAAAAGACCUUUAAAAAGACACUGUCUCAAUUGUGGUGUUAGCACCAGCCAGCUCUCUGUACAUUUGCUAGCUUGUAGUUUUCUAAGACUGAGUAAACUUCUUAUUUUUAGAAAGUGGAGGUCUGAUUUGUAACUUUCCUUGUACUUAAUUGGGUAAAAGUCUUUUCCACAAACCACCAUCUAUUUUGUGAACUUUGUUAGUCAUCUUUUAUUUGGUAAAUUAUGAACUGGUGUAAAUUUGUACAGUUCAUGUAUAUUGAUUGUGGCAAAGUUGUACAGAUUUCUAUAUUUUGGAUGAUAAAUUUUUCUUCUCUCUAUAAUUGUUUCUUAU
Callithrix jacchus (white-tufted-ear marmoset) is the source of this 1825-nucleotide non-coding RNA. The record is from RefSeq and is a predicted model, not a curated record. NCBI's taxonomy places the organism in Eukaryota, Metazoa, Chordata, Mammalia, Primates, Cebidae.